GAUGAACGCUGGCGGCGUGCCUAACACAUGCAAGUCGAGCGAUUCUCUUCGGAGAAGAGCGGCGGACGGGUGAGUAACGCGUGGGUAACCUGCCCUGUACACACGGAUAACAUACCGAAAGAUAUGCUAAUACGAGAUAAUAUACUUUUAUCGCAUGGUAGAAGUAUCAAAGCUCCGGCGUUAAAGGAUGGACCCGCGUCUGAGUAGCUAUUUGUCAAGGUAACGGCUUAACAAGGCGACAAUCAGUAGCCGACCUGACAGGGUGAUCGGCCACAUGGGAACUGAGACACGGUCCAAACUCCUACGGGAGGCAGCAGUGGGGAAUAUUGCACAAUGGGCGAAAGCCUGAUGCAGCAACGCCUCGUGAGCGAUGAAGGCCUUCGGGUCGUAAAGCUCUGUCCUCAAGGAAGAUAAUGACGGUACUUGAGGAGGAAGCCCCGGCUAACUACGUGCCAGCCGCCGCCGUAA
Molecule: ribosomal RNA, 468 nt
Filed under: uncultured bacterium
Lineage: Bacteria
Description: partial 16S ribosomal RNA
Rfam family: Bacterial small subunit ribosomal RNA
Source: RNAcentral